Molecule: ribosomal RNA, 533 nt
Filed under: uncultured bacterium
Lineage: Bacteria
Description: bacterial SSU rRNA
Rfam family: Bacterial small subunit ribosomal RNA
Source: RNAcentral
ACGAUCAGUAGCCGACCUGAGAGGGUGAUCGGCCACAUUGGAACUGAGACACGGUCCAAACUCCUACGGGAGGCAGCAGUGGGGAAUAUUGCACAAUGGGCGAAAGCCUGAUGCAGCAACGCCGCGUGAGUGAUGAAGGCCUUCGGGUCGUAAAACUCUGUCCUCAAGGAAGAUAAUGACGGUACUUGAGGAGGAAGCCCCGGCUAACUACGUGCCAGCAGCCGCGGUAAUACGUAGGGGGCUAGCGUUAUCCGGAUUUACUGGGCGUAAAGGGUGCGUAGGCGGUCUUUCAAGUCAGGAGUGAAAGGCUACGGCUCAACCGUAGUAAGCUCUUGAAACUGGGAGACUUGAGUGCAGGAGAGGAGAGUGGAAUUCCUAGUGUAGCGGUGAAAUGCGUAGAUAUUAGGAGGAACACCAGUUGCGAAGGCGGCUCUCUGGACUGUAACUGACGCUGAGGCACGAAAGCGUGGGGAGCAAACAGGAUUAGAUACCCUGGUAGUCCACGCUGUAAACGAUGAGUACUAGGUGUCGGG